This 20-nucleotide ribosomal RNA is filed under the name Sterigmatomyces elviae. Its description in RNAcentral is "partial 26S rRNA". The record is from RNAcentral. Lineage: Eukaryota; Fungi; Basidiomycota; Agaricostilbomycetes; Agaricostilbales; Agaricostilbaceae. RNAcentral also lists the same sequence under 3 other names.
UGACCUCAAAUCAGGUAGGA